RNAcentral lists this transfer RNA (73 nucleotides) under Ulnaria acus. RNAcentral's name for it is "tRNA-Met". It matches the Rfam family "tRNA". From Rfam's summary of the family: Transfer RNA (tRNA) molecules are approximately 80 nucleotides in length. Their secondary structure includes four short double-helical elements and three loops (D, anti-codon, and T loops). Lineage: Eukaryota; Bacillariophyta; Fragilariophyceae; Fragilariales; Fragilariaceae. The record is from RNAcentral.
AAUGAAAUAGUUCAGUUGGUAGAAUGUUAGAAUCAUAAUCUAAAUGCCGAGAGUUCAAUUCUCUCUUUCAUUA